This 195-nucleotide unclassified non-coding RNA is filed under the name plant metagenome. Its description in RNAcentral is "partial contains small subunit ribosomal RNA, internal transcribed spacer 1, and 5.8S ribosomal RNA". The record is from RNAcentral.
GCUCCGUUGGUGAACCAGCGGAGGGAUCAUUACCGAGUUUACAACUCCCAAACCCCUGUGAACAUACCAUUUGUUGCCUCGGCGGUGCCUGCUUCGGCAGCCCGCCAGAGGACCCAAACCCUUGAUUUUAUACAGUAUCUUCUGAGUAAAUGAUUAAACAAAUCAAAACUUUCAACAACGGAUCUCUUGGUUCUG